This 326-nucleotide long non-coding RNA is filed under the name Homo sapiens (human). Its description in RNAcentral is "PREDICTED lncRNA (TCONS_00190393)". Lineage: Eukaryota; Metazoa; Chordata; Mammalia; Primates; Hominidae. The record is from RNAcentral.
AGUACAGUUCCCGUCACAGCAAGUGCUUCCUCUCUCGGAGCAGACAAACUAACUGAAGCCACAGCCGGAAGCAGGCUGACCACAAGUGCUAAGGUUCUGGUUAGUUCUUUUCUAGGUUCAAAAGAAGAGGCUGUUCUAAGAAAGACUACCGAGUAAUCAAUCACCUCCUCAGAGAAAGUCUGCUCAGGGACCAGCUCUGUGAACACGGCAAGUAACAACAGAGAGAAAACGUGAGGAGAAAAGAGAGACCGGGAUUUUGAAAUCCUGUUUCCUGAAUGCCAUCUCACCAGGCACACGAAAGAAUAAAAUUAAGGAAUCAAGAGCCA